RNAcentral lists this ribosomal RNA (615 nucleotides) under uncultured bacterium. Its description in RNAcentral is "bacterial SSU rRNA". It matches the Rfam family "Bacterial small subunit ribosomal RNA", at positions 338 to 1417 of the family's 1533-position model. The record is from RNAcentral.
CCUACGGGAGGCAGCAGUGAGGAAUAUUGGACAAUGGGCGCAAGCCUGAUCCAGCCAUGCCGCGUGCAGGAAGAAGCAUCUAUGGUGUGUAAACUGCUUUUGUACAGGAAGAAACACUCCCUCGUGAGGGAGCUUGACGGUACUGUAAGAAUAAGGACCGGCUAACUCCGUGCCAGCAGCCGCGGUAAUACGGAGGGUCCGAGCGUUAUCCGGAAUCAUUGGGUUUAAAGGGUCCGUAGGCGGUUUAAUAAGUCAGUGGUGAAAUCUGGUCGCUCAACGAUCAAACGGCCAUUGAUACUGUUAGACUUGAAUUAUAAGGAAGUAACUAGAAUAUGUAGUGUAGCGGUGAAAUGCUUAGAUAUUACAUGGAAUACCAAUUGCGAAGGCAGGUUACUACUUAUGGAUUGACGCUGAUGGACGAAAGCGUGGGGAGCGAACAGGAUUAGAUACCCUGGUAGUCCACGCCGUAAACGAUGGAUACUAGCUGUUCGGAGCAAUCUGAGUGGCUAAGCGAAAGUGAUAAGUAUCCCACCUGGGGAGUACGUUCGCAAGAAUGAAACCUUAANAGUAGUAGUAGAGNGAGAGAGACGACGACGACGACGACGGAGGGAGGAG